This 378-nucleotide ribosomal RNA is filed under the name uncultured bacterium. RNAcentral describes it as "bacterial SSU rRNA". It matches the Rfam family "Bacterial small subunit ribosomal RNA", at positions 521 to 898 of the family's 1533-position model. The record is from RNAcentral.
UAAUACAGAGGGUGCGAGCGUUAAUCGGAUUUACUGGGCGUAAAGCGUGCGUAGGCGGCUUAUUAAGUCGGAUGUGAAAUCCCCGAGCUUAACUUGGGAAUUGCAUUCGAUACUGGUGAGCUAGAGUAUGGGAGAGGAUGGUAGAAUUCCAGGUGUAGCGGUGAAAUGCGUAGAGAUCUGGAGGAAUACCGAUGGCGAAGGCAGCCAUCUGGCCUAAUACUGACGCUGAGGUACGAAAGCAUGGGGAGCAAACAGGAUUAGAUACCCUGGUAGUCCAUGCCGUAAACGAUGUCUACUAGCCGUUGGGGCCUUUGAGGCUUUAGUGGCGCAGCUAACGCGAUAAGUAGACCGCCUGGGGAGUACGGUCGCAAGACUAAA